RNAcentral lists this ribosomal RNA (396 nucleotides) under uncultured bacterium. RNAcentral's name for it is "partial 16S ribosomal RNA". It matches the Rfam family "Bacterial small subunit ribosomal RNA", at positions 359 to 773 of the family's 1533-position model. The record is from RNAcentral.
GAAUCUUGCACAAUGGAGGGAACUCUGAUGCAGCGACGUCGCGUGAACGAUGAAGGCCUUCGGGUCGUAAAGUUCUGUCCUAUGGGAAGAUAAUGACGGUACCAUAGAAGAAAGCCCCGGCUAACUACGUGCCAGCAGCCGCGGUAAUACGUAGGGGGCGAACGUUGUCCGGAAUUACUGGGCGUAAAGGGUACGCAGGCGGCCAAAUAAGUCAGGUGUGAAAUCCUAGGGCUCAACCCUAGUAAGCACUUGAAACUGUAUGGCUUGAGUUAAGGAGAGGAAAGUGGAAUUUCUGGUGUAGCGGUGAAAUGCGUAGAUAUCAGAAGGAAUACCAGUGGCGAAGGCGACUCUCUGGCCUUAAACUGACGCUGAGGUACGAAAGCGUGGGGAGCAAAC